UCGCUAAGUAAGAUGUUGCGGGCUUGGUCUCUAAGUCUUGUGGCGUCACCUAAUAGUUAUUGGUAUAUUUUUUAGUUAAGUAAGAUCCAUCGUUCACCAGCAGGUCCAAAGCCAUCAUUGGGACUCUCACUGAACAGUUAUUGGGCCCAACCCCAUCUCUAUCUCAGGACAUCAAAUGUCAAUAGAGUGAUUGUACUUUUUCGAUACAAUCAAAUCACUGUAACCAGUUGAGAACGAU
RNAcentral lists this long non-coding RNA (238 nucleotides) under Elaeis guineensis (African oil palm). RNAcentral's name for it is "long non-coding RNA (EGUI_LNC036662)". Lineage: Eukaryota; Viridiplantae; Streptophyta; Magnoliopsida; Arecales; Arecaceae. The record is from RNAcentral.